RNAcentral lists this transfer RNA (70 nucleotides) under Tridentiger barbatus (Shokihaze gobi). RNAcentral describes it as "tRNA-Ile". It matches the Rfam family "tRNA". Rfam says of the family: Transfer RNA (tRNA) molecules are approximately 80 nucleotides in length. Lineage: Eukaryota; Metazoa; Chordata; Actinopteri; Gobiiformes; Gobiidae. The record is from RNAcentral.
GGAGCCGUGCCUGAACUAAAGGGUCACUUUGAUAGAGUGAAUUAUAGGGGUUAAAAUCCCCUCGCCUCCU